This 352-nucleotide long non-coding RNA is filed under the name Androctonus crassicauda. The record is from RNAcentral. Lineage: Eukaryota; Metazoa; Arthropoda; Arachnida; Scorpiones; Buthidae.
CCCUUUCUUAAUUUAUUUUAACUUUCACAUUCAAGGCCGAGUUCCAAAUUAAUCUACAAAAAUGGAUAAUCAAAUAUUUCCUUAAAACAAGAGAUCUAAAAUUUUCAUUUGUUACCUUACACCUCCAAGUAUUUGAUGUUUAUCCGGUUAAUGGGAUUUUUUUUUUGCGACUUUUUAAUGCAGUUGCUCGAAAUUGUUUCUUCACAUUUGUUCCAAAUGACUUUAGGCAAGCAGAAAUUGGUACGACUGGAGAAAGGAUCCCCGCGGAGUUCCGACCCCCCUUUUGUCUUAUCCUCCUGGUUGGGGGCUGUUGAGUUCGAUGGUGAAGGUUCCGUGCGUGGGAAGUGCCCCG